RNAcentral lists this ribosomal RNA (253 nucleotides) under uncultured bacterium. RNAcentral's name for it is "partial 16S ribosomal RNA". It matches the Rfam family "Bacterial small subunit ribosomal RNA", at positions 524 to 776 of the family's 1533-position model. The record is from RNAcentral.
UACGUAGGGGGCAAGCGUUGUCCGGAUUUAUUGGGUUUAAAGGGUGCGUAGGCGGUUCCAUAAGUCAGUGGUGAAAUACAAUAGCUUAACUAUUGAGGUGCCAUUGAUACUGCGGAACUUGAGUACAGACGAGGUAGGCGGAAUUGACGGUGUAGCGGUGAAAUGCUUAGAUAUCGUCAAGAACACCGAUAGCGAAGGCAGCUUACUAGACUGUAACUGACGCUGAGGCACGAAAGUGUGGGGAUCAAACAGG